Molecule: ribosomal RNA, 707 nt
Organism: Plasmodium vivax (malaria parasite P. vivax)
Lineage: Eukaryota; Apicomplexa; Aconoidasida; Haemosporida; Plasmodiidae
Source: RefSeq, a predicted model, not a curated record
CUUUACAUUUGCCAAAAGAAGGAAUAUGUUACUUCCUACGUGCACGUAGAGGGGUUUGUGAAAAGUUACCACGUAGAUUUACUGGCUUGUGGCUGCCAAGCGCUCCUAACGACGCAGUUUUUUGAUCCUUCGAUGUUGGCUCUUCCCAUCAUUGGGACGCAUAAGUUUCAAAGUAUCGGAUUGUUCACCCGCUAAUAGGGAACGUGAGCUGGGUUUAGACCGUCGUGAGACAAAUUAGUUUUACCCUACUGGCGAAUUUGCUAUUAUUAUCAUAUACAUAUAGUACCGUGACAGCAAUGCAGCUUGGCACGAGAGGAUUAGUUGGUGCAGCAAGUGGUGGUCAAACCAGCGUUGCGAAGUUAAGUAGGUUGGCUAGUGGCCGAACGGUUUUGAAGCCAUAAUCGUAACCCAUGUUGAUUAAACAGUAUCAUUGUGAUCCUUUUUGUAACAAAUUUUUUACCGUCGAUGUGAAAGGGAAACUAUAUGUGCAGAUUUUGUAACAACCAACAGGAGCAGUAUUAAUCCCAUUAGCAUAGUAAUAUGCGUUUUUUUUUCCCAAUUUGCGCAAAGGCAAUGCAAAAAUUGCACCUUAACAACAGGAAAGAUUUAUCUGUGUUUGUAGACGACUAACAUCAACCCUGGGUGCCGUAAACAUGAAAGUAAACUUUGUUUUACGAUCUGUUGAGGCUUACCCUCGGUGAUAUAAG